Molecule: small RNA, 25 nt
Filed under: Arabidopsis thaliana (thale cress)
Lineage: Eukaryota; Viridiplantae; Streptophyta; Magnoliopsida; Brassicales; Brassicaceae
Description: ATSL071070
Source: RNAcentral
GAAAACAAAACAAAACAAAACAAAU